UCCCUAGUGGCUCAGACGGUAAAGCAUCUGCCUACAAUGCGGGAAACCUGGGUUCAAUCCCUGGUUUGGGAA
RNAcentral lists this transfer RNA (72 nucleotides) under Ovis aries (sheep). It matches the Rfam family "tRNA". From Rfam's summary of the family: Transfer RNA (tRNA) molecules are approximately 80 nucleotides in length. Lineage: Eukaryota; Metazoa; Chordata; Mammalia; Artiodactyla; Bovidae. The record is from Rfam by way of RNAcentral.